GCUUGUUGCUCGAAGGAAAGUCGGCGCUAGUGUUUAAAAAAAAAAAAAAAAAAAAAAAAAAAAAAGUAUCGCGUUAACCGUAAAGGACGUGCUCUCGCUUCAAAUGCUGUUCGGACGAUAAAAUGUAUAAUAGUGCGUCGAGUUUUUAAUUUGAUGUUUAAAAUAAACUCGUUAGUAUAUAUAAAUCUCUCUAUAUAUUCGCUCCCAGUUUGGCUGUACUGGGUGGGUUGCCGUGUCGGCUCGUGACUGUCGGUGAGGCUAGCGGCGAGAUUUCGUGGCGAUGAGCGUUCAACAGCAGGAAGUGCUUUUCAGGAAGCAGGAGCCAGAGGAAGGGUGAGGUCGGAUAAAUGUUGGAUAAGAAGGCAGACUUUCGUUUUCAUGUCACGAGAAAUCUUGUUCAGGACUGGACUGAGAUUAUGGUUCAGUACUGAGAUUGGUGGUUUAGUGAUAGUCAGGGUUUUUUUGUGUUUAAACAAUACUCACUGAGCUAAUAUGCAGUCCCUAUUCUCUAGACUAUUUUAUAGUGUUUAAAAAAAUAUAAUAAUUUUUGUACGAAUGGAGGGGGGAGACUGAGAUGAAAGGAAUAACACUUUAUUUAAACUUGGUCAUGAUUCACAAGUAUGUGGAUUAUAUUCGGAAAGGGUUUAUCAUUGUGAAAGUGUAAAUGCAGCAAGUUCACCUUUAAAGCAGAUUUAAAUCUGAUUGCUCAAAUCUACUUCAUAAGAGAUUUUGAAACAUGUUCUUCCAGGGUAAAUGCGUUGUACGUUCUCGCCACAUUUGACAACCAAAAUAGUCCAUUAUAACAUGCUCUAGACAGUAUUAUUAUAUCUUAAUGUGCACAAUGUUUUAUUGAUGAAGGUGAUUGAAACCAGUGCACAACUUAACGGUGAACUUAACCUUUGAAUAUCCUGUUGAGGAAUAAUAAAUGCAGAGAGCAUUUUGUCAACUGUUACAAUAAUAUAUAAAUACAAGAGACUCGUUAAAUAAAGUGUACACGCAUAUGGAUAAAAUCUUUUUCAAUUACAAUUCAGAUACAAGAUGCACGAAACAACCAGCUUGUAAACUGGAUUGUGAUUAUAAUUUUGUCAUUUGUACAGUAUUUACUGAACACUAAUUGGCAAUAACCAUAUAACCAUAUAAUCAUAAGCACAGUGUGUGUGUGUGUGUGUGUGUGUGGUGUGUGUGUGUGUGUGUGCGCCACAGCAGAUACAGCGAGUUCAGCCGUUUUCAUCAGGGCAGAUCAGUACUGGCCUAAUUUAAACACAACGCCUCUGGCUCAGAAAACUCAAUUACAGCAUCAUUUGACCAUUUCAGCAUAACCAGCGAUCAUGCAUUGGGGCUUUUAGCAUGAUCCAUAAUUUCUAUUUUAAGCCAUAUUUUGAGAACCUUAAGCAAGAAGUACCAGUUCUUUUCCACAUUUGAAUAGGGAUAGUGAAGAAUUUGAUACAAUAUGUUUCAAGGUUAAAGGGGAUAUUAUAUGUAUCUCAUGUCUGAUCUGUACCUAUUUAACACAAUAUAGACAAGCCAAAGAAACUGCAUGGCAUCAUUCAGUUAUAGACCUUACAAUAGGUA
Molecule: long non-coding RNA, 1572 nt
Organism: Ictalurus punctatus (channel catfish)
Lineage: Eukaryota; Metazoa; Chordata; Actinopteri; Siluriformes; Ictaluridae
Source: Ensembl